GGCCCCGUCCUCUCUUCGCCAACAGACAUUUCUUAAGUAUUCACUGGUUAUUCAAGGGAGGCAAAAUAUAUAUAGUCUCCUAAAAAACUCAAGCUAGCUGGCUGUUUGUCUUGUAAGCUGUCAGACAUAGAUCC
RNAcentral lists this small nucleolar RNA (134 nucleotides) under Pteropus vampyrus (large flying fox). RNAcentral describes it as "Small nucleolar RNA SNORA27 (ENSPVAG00000028188.1)". Lineage: Eukaryota; Metazoa; Chordata; Mammalia; Chiroptera; Pteropodidae. The record is from RNAcentral.